CCUACUUGCACCCCAAAAUAUCCCGCUGCAGGUUCAUGUAUUUUUCCUCCAAAAUGGCGGGGUCGGGACCUAGAAAAACCUCAUGAAAGUCUUGGAAAGUUGCACCAUUUUAGGCAGCCUGCAUUCUGCCCAUUCCAUCCUAUUGUAGCGUGCGGUUCACGCUAUUUUACGGCCGCUACCGGGAUGGAUCGAACGCGACCGCGUGGGGCGUAAGUCCAUGCUUCUGACAUAGUAGACUGAAAGGAGUUAAAAGUAAAUGUGAUCGACUAAGAGGAUUCCUUGCACAGGAGGGAAUGUCUUUGUGAAAGGCCUGAUAAUGGAGAUAUAGUACCUGUAGGCUAUGUUACAAGGAGGUCUAAUGGUCAGGAUGUUCAUACAAAUACCCAAUUCAUUGGAUCUUCAAAUUUGAAUAAUUAUACACAAGAAAUUUAAAUAUAUCAAUAUUAUAUAGGAUAUGUAUGAUGGAGCAGUCUUGAGCAUAAGAAGUGGCAUUAGUAAUAGAGAAUUUCGUUACACCGAGGCUGGCAUCAAUCCUCUGCCUUAAGAUCUUUGAGCUUAUGAGACAUCCAAAAUGAGGUUCCUUGACAAAUUGUAGUCACGAAUGACAGUGUUUUGAUAGAUGAGAAUCGGAUGUCAUCAAAUCAUAAUUUAAGACCUUGAAGGAGUACUUUGGAAUUUAGAGGUUCUCAAUUAAGGAGGCUGAGAUGGAGCACAUGGAAGCCCUUCUGCUGAUUGUAGGAAUAUGGAUAAUAGUGGAGUCAGUGCAAAGGAUCAUAUUGUCCCAAAAGGUGGUUGCUUUAUGUAUUUGCGUUUCAUUUAGUAACAAGAAAUGAGGAGUUGAAGAGGGUGGAAGAUCUCUCUAUAAGGUUAAAAAAUCAGUUUUAUGUAUCAGUUAUUAGUCUUGCCAUUUUUUUUAUGAUAUUGACUGUUGGGGUUCUUAAAAUGCAAAAUAUCCAUAAGUUAGAUAAUUGUGUUACAACACUCGAAUGGAUAAUAUAAGAAAUGUGAAUAUGCACUGAUAAGUGGAGGUGGCCUCAAUUGAACAUAAAGAUGAUUUUGACAGUUUGUUCAUGCUGUGUGUAGUUAAGAAACGUUCAAUUGUGAGAGUCCUCUGAUCUUGGUAGACCUAGUGAGAAGUGGG
This 1141-nucleotide long non-coding RNA is filed under the name Olea europaea subsp. europaea. The record is from RNAcentral. Lineage: Eukaryota; Viridiplantae; Streptophyta; Magnoliopsida; Lamiales; Oleaceae.